RNAcentral lists this ribosomal RNA (2298 nucleotides) under human gut metagenome. RNAcentral describes it as "bacterial LSU rRNA". It matches the Rfam family "Bacterial large subunit ribosomal RNA", at positions 502 to 2820 of the family's 2925-position model. The record is from RNAcentral.
CGUGAGGGAAAGGUGAAAAGAACCCCGGGAGGGGAGUGAAAGAGAACCUGAAACCAUAUGCCUACAAGAAGUCAGAGCCCGUUAAAGGGUGAUGGCGUGCCUUUUGUAGAAUGAACCGGCGAGUUACUGUAUGGAGCGAGGUUAAGCAGGAUAUGCGGAGCCGAAGCGAAAGCGAGUCUUAAGAGGGCGCGAGUUGCAUGCAGUAGACCCGAAACCGGGUGAUCUAGCCAUGACCAGGUUGAAGUUGGGGUAAAACCCGAUGGAGGACCGAACCGACCCCCGUUGAAACGUUGGCGGAUGAGUUGUGGCUAGGGGUGAAAUUCCAAUCGAACCCGGAGAUAGCUGGUUCUCCCCGAAAUAGCUUUAGGGCUAGCGUCGAGAGAAGAGUUGCGUGAAGGUAGAGCACUGAAUAUGUGAUGGCCCCAUCUCGGGGUACUGAGCAUAAUCAAACUGCGAAUGUCACGCCAACAUGCUCGGCAGUCAGACAGCGGGUGAUAAGGUCCGUUGUCAAGAGGGAAACAGCCCAGACCAUCAGCUAAGGUCCCAAAAUGUAUGCUAAGUGGAAAAGGAUGUGGAGAUGUACAGACAACUAGGAGGUUGGCUCAGAAGCAGCCAUCCUUUAAAGAGUGCGUAACAGCUCACUAGUCGAAUGACUCUGCGCCGAUAAUUUACCGGGGCUAAGCAUACUACCGAAGCUAUGGAUCCCAAGGGAUGGUAGGGGAGCGUUCCAUGAACGGAGAAGUACGACCGAAAGGACGUGUGGAGAUCAUGGAAGAGAGAAUGCCGGUGUGAGUAGCGGAACGUGGGUGAGAAUCCCACGCACCGAAAACCCAAGGUUUCCAGAGGAAGGUUCGUCCGCUCUGGGUAAGUCGGGACCUAAGGCGAGGCCGAAAGGCGUAGUCGAUGGACAACAGGUAGAGAUUCCUGUACCCGUAUAUAUGUGAAGGAAUGACGGAGAGAGGAAGCUGCAGCCAGCGGCUGGAAGAGCUGGUGCAAGCGAGAUAUCGGGAUGGCAGGCAAAUCCACCAUCCGAAACGAGAAGGCGUGAAGCGUACGGAAAGCUACGGCGAGUACGGAAGGCAGUGGAGGAACUUCCAAGAAAAGUUUCUAACGUUAAGUAUAUAUGGCCCGUACCGAAAAUGGACACACAUGGGUGAGGAGAGAAUCCUAAGGUGAGCGAGAGAACUAUAGCUAAGGAACUCUGCAAAAUGACUCCGUAACUUAGGGAGAAGGAGUGCUCAUAGAGAUAUGAGCCGCAGUGAAACGGCCCAAGCGACUGUUUACCAAAAACACAGCUCUCUGCUAAGCCGCAAGGCGAAGUAUAGGGGGUGACGCCUGCCCGGUGCUGGAAGGUUAAGGGGAGGGGUUAACGCAAGUGAAGCCCUGAACUGAAGCCCCAGUAAACGGCGGCCGUAACUAUAACGGUCCUAAGGUAGCGAAAUUCCUUGUCAGGUAAGUUCUGACCCGCACGAAAGGCGUAACGAUUUGGGCGCUGUCUCAGCUGUAGACUCGGUGAAGUCUUAGUACCUGUGAAGAUGCAGGUUACCCGCGACUAGACGGAAAGACCCCAUGGAGCUUCACUGCAGGUUGAUAUUGGGAUUUGAUGCAGCAUGUACAGGAUAGGUAGGAGGCAAAGAGAUGGAUACGCCAGUAUUCAAGGAGCCGCUGUUGGGAUACUACCCCUGUUGUAUUGGAUUUCUAACCGGACGACGUAGAGCCGUUGACGGGACAGUGUCAGUCGGGCAGUUUGACUGGGGCGGUCGCCUCCCAAAGAGUAACGGAGGCGCCCAAAGAUACCCUCAGCUUGGAUGGAAACCAAGCGCAGAGUGCAAAGGCAAAAGGGUGUUUGACUGCGAGACCUACAAGUCGAGCAGGGACGAAAGUCGGGCUUAGUGAUCCGGCGGUGCUGAAUGGAAAGGCCGUCGCUCAACGGAUAAAAGCUACCCUGGGGAUAACAGGCUGAUCUCCCCCAAGAGUUCACAUCGACGGGGAGGUUUGGCACCUCGAUGUCGGCUCAUCGCAUCCUGGAGCUGAAGUCGGUUCCAAGGGUUGGGCUGUUCGCCCAUUAAAGCGGUACGCGAGCUGGGUUCAGAACGUCGUGAGACAGUUCGGUCCCUAUCUGUCGUGGGCGCAGGAAAUUUGAGAAGAGCUGUCCUCAGUACGAGAGGACCGGGAUGGACGCAUCAAUGGUGGACCAGUUGUCACGCCAGUGGCAUAGCUGGGUAGCUAAAUGCGGAAGGGAUAAACGCUGAAGGCAUCUAAGUGUGAAACCCACUUCAAGAUGAGAUUUCCCAUUGC